UACGGGGGGGGCAAGCGUUGUUCGGAAUUACUGGGCGUAAAGCGCACGUAGGCGGACAUUUAAGUCAGGGGUGAAAUCCCGGGGCUCAACCCCGGAACUGCCUUUGAUACUGGGUGUCUAGAGUAUGGAAGAGGUGAGUGGAAUUCCGAGUGUAGAGGUGAAAUUCGUAGAUAUUCGGAGGAACACCAGUGGCGAAGGCGGCUCACUGGUCCAUUACUGACGCUGAGGUGCGAAAGCGUGGGGAGCAAACAGG
This 253-nucleotide ribosomal RNA is filed under the name uncultured bacterium. Its description in RNAcentral is "partial 16S ribosomal RNA". It matches the Rfam family "Bacterial small subunit ribosomal RNA", at positions 524 to 776 of the family's 1533-position model. The record is from RNAcentral.